UGUGGGUAAUGUGAGGGCGUACCAGGGCCACGAAAAGGAGCCGACAGGAGCGGGUGAGCGGACACAUUGGAACGGAGACACGGUCCAGACGCCUGCGGGAGGCAGCAGUGGGGGAUAGUGAACAAGGGGGGAAAGCCGGAGGCAGCAAGGCCGCGUGAGUGAGGAAGGCCGUCGGGUGGUAAAGCGCUGUCCUCAAGGAAGAUAAGGACGGUACGUGAGGAGGAAGGCCCGGCGAACUACGUGCCAGCAGCCGCGGUAAUACGUAGGGGGCUAGCGUUAUCCGGAGUUACUGGGCGUA
Molecule: ribosomal RNA, 298 nt
Filed under: Clostridioides difficile
Lineage: Bacteria; Bacillati; Bacillota; Clostridia; Peptostreptococcales; Peptostreptococcaceae
Description: partial 16S ribosomal RNA
Rfam family: Bacterial small subunit ribosomal RNA
Source: RNAcentral